RNAcentral lists this ribosomal RNA (319 nucleotides) under uncultured eukaryote. RNAcentral's name for it is "partial 18S ribosomal RNA". It matches the Rfam family "Eukaryotic small subunit ribosomal RNA", at positions 1470 to 1796 of the family's 1831-position model. The record is from RNAcentral.
CCCUUAGAUGUCCUGGGCCGCACGCGUGCUACACUGACGCCUACAGCGAGUACUUCCCAGCCCCGAGAGGUGGCUGGUAAUCAGCAAUAGGCGUCGUGAUGGGGAUAGAUCUUUGGAAUUAUGGAUCUUGAACGAGGAAUGCCUAGUAAGCGCAGGUCAUUAGCCUGCGCUGAUUAAGUCCCUGCCCUUUGUACACACCGCCCGUCGCUCCUACCGAUUUCGAGUGGUCCGGUGAAUCUUUCGGACUGCGCGCGGCCUCGUGCCGUGUCGCGGAAAGUCAGGUAAACCGUAUCACUUAGAGGAAGGAGAAGUCGUAACA